UACGUAGGUGGCAAGCGUUAUCCGGAUUCACUGGGUGUAAAGGGAGCGUAGACGGCGACGCAAGUCUGGAGUGAAAGCCCGGGGCCCAACCCCGGGACUGCUCUGGAAACUGCGUCGCUGGAGUACGGGAGGGGCAGGCGGAAUUCCUGGUGUAGCGGUGAAAUGCGUAGAUAUCAGGAGGAACACCGGCGGCGAAGGCGGCCUGCUGGACCGUGACUGACGUUGAGGCUCGAGAGCGUGGGGAGCAAACAGG
This 253-nucleotide ribosomal RNA is filed under the name uncultured bacterium. RNAcentral describes it as "partial 16S ribosomal RNA". It matches the Rfam family "Bacterial small subunit ribosomal RNA", at positions 524 to 776 of the family's 1533-position model. The record is from RNAcentral.